GUCUUUGUGACUGGCACUCAUGGACAGACAGUGGUGUUCAGGGACAGAACAGAUUUUGGAGGGGGUGGGGAGGCCAAUAAACCAAGAAACGUCAGAAAUAAAAGUCGCAUGAAGUACUCUGAUCUCUGUAUUUCCUUUUUUUUUUUUUUUUUUUUGAAAUUUGAUUUUAACUCUUGCUUUUUUUUAUGGUUUGUGUCUGUUUUUUCCACCCCCGCUGGCGCCGAGCUGCGCUGUUUUGUGUUUCUUUUUUUUUUUUUUUUUCUAUUUUUUUUUUUUAAAUUCUGAAGCCAGACCGUCUUUCCUCACAGCUCCACGGCUGCAUCUCCGUGGGCACGCAAGCUUCCCCUGGUUACCUGAGCUGCUCCUGCCGUCUCCCGCCUGGGCUUCGCCGUGGUGCACCCGAUCCCGGAAUCGUGCGUCUGCGCCCUGCGAAAGAAGGACCUGCUGGCGGAGCUCCGGCCGGGGUCUCCUGCCUCGCAGCUGGGCGAGGGGACUUGGAGGACAGGGUGAAGCUGCAGAAGACCUGGGGUGGGAUGGCUAGAGAGGACGCCAAGGACUGGGGAAGGGGAAGUUAGGAAUACCUUACAUCCAAUGCCCACCCGUGCUCCGCAGGGCAAGGGCAGCCGUCGCCUCGGCCGCGUGCACCCAGCUCAGGCUGUUCCCAGGGAUUUAGUCUGGGGGGACAACCCAUGGCGAGAUGUGGUGGCAUUUUACCUCAGAGUGGAGCUGAAGAUGGAUAAACAAGUUCUGGAGACCAGAAGGCCAAAAUCAAAAGUAUGGGCAGGCUUGAUUUCUUUAGAAGACUCCAGCGGAGAACUGUGUCUCCUUGCUUCUGAUUCUACAUCUCCAUCCAUGGGCCACUGUUUCAGCAACCUCAGCCAGUGCAACACAACCUCAGCCAAGAAGAGUAUGCAGAGAAAGGAGUCCCCUACCUGCCACAAAACUGUUGUCUGAAAACUGUCUCAUAUUGUCUCAAGUUGUCAUUCAUUGUGAAUUAGACCUGUUUAACAUGUAAUCUGCAACAUGCUUCACUGUCUAAUUUUCCAGAGCCCCUCAUAUAAGGAACUGUAUUAUUGGUAUAAUCAUCAUGGUGAAGAAGUUGGUAUGUGGGGGAGAGAUGACAGAAACAGAGAGUAAGUCAGAGCUGGCUGCCUGACAGAUAAAAAGGAAAUGACCAAAAAAAAAAAAAAAGACACAGAAGAAUACUUUGUUGUCCACACAGAAAAGGGAAGUGUAGGUAAGACAGCAGUAGACUAAGAUUCUUAAGACUCAAGUUCUAGUCUUAUUUAUUAGCUAUGGGAGGCCUUGAGGGAGUUCUAGAAUUAAGUGAUCUCUCUUUAUAAAAUAGGAACAGUAAUAACUUCCUGGCUAACUCCCUGGCUGUCUCACAAUGCUGUAGUAGUAAGAAAUAAUUUUAUAAUUAAAGACUAUUUUAGGGCUGAUUACAUUUUUGGGCAGUGGCUCAUACAUGUAAUUUCAACAUUUUGGGAGGCCAAGGUGGGCGGAUUGCUUGAGCCCAGGAAUUCAAGACCAGGCUGGGCAACACAGACCUUGUCACUACAAAAGAAAAAAACAUUAGCUAGGCGUGGUGAUGUAUGCCUGUGGUCCCAGCUACUCAGGAAGCUGAGACAGGAGGAUCACCUGAGCCUGGGAGGUCGAGGCUACAGUGAGCCAUGAUCACACUACUGCACUCCAGCCUGGGAAACAGAGUGAGACUCUGUCUCAAAAAAAAAAAAAAAGGAAUAUUUUACACUUCAAGGUUCUAUACAAAUGUAAAAUAUCAUUCUAUUACUUAUUUAUAAUGCUGAUUAUUCUUUAAAUGACUUUAAAAUGUUAAUCUCUGCUUGAGCCUACGGAGAAGUAUGUAACAAAUUUGUGAAGGAUUGGCAUUAAACAUAGUCAAAAUAAAACAUAGAAAUUAUGGUAAAUAAUUUAACUGGUAAAAUAAUCUAAGUGGUAGUUCUCAGGUAAGUGGAAAUUCGAUUAGCUGAUUGUUUAGGAUUCUUGGUUAUAAGUGACAGAGACCUGACUAAAAGUACAUGAAGCACAUAACUGAGAAGGUUGUGGUAUGGCUCAGCAGAAAUGGGAAAAUCUUGGGACUGGUUCGUGUUUUAUUUACAUUAUCUUUGUUCCCAGGCAGUCUCUGCAUGUAAGUGGCAAAGAUGACUGUCUGAAAAUAUAUACCUACUUUUUUAAAGGGCUAUCUCAAGCCAUUCUGGAGAAGCACCAAAAGCCACUUUGCUUAUACUGGGAGAAUAGUUUGCUUUCCCUAAUUUGUGAUGAGUGAAACACUGAACAGAGACAUAGAAUAAUAUUCUGUAGUUCAGGGUUGGUGUAAUAUGGCCAGUGGGCGGAAUCUGGUCCUCAGACUGAUUUUGCAAAUAAUCUUAUAGAAACACAGCAACACCCAUUCAUUACAUGUUGUUUAUGGUUGCUUUGGGGUUACAAUGGCAGAGUUGAGUAGUUGUGACAGAGAUCACUAGGCUCACCACAUCUGAGAUAUGUACUGACUGACCCUGUACAGAAAGUUUGCUGCUCUUAGAGGAAUGUGUGUUUCUAGUGUCAGCAAUAAACUUCUUGGAUUUGUUUUGUUUUCUCAUCUUUACAUGAUAGUUGCAGACUAGUUGAUCCUUGUGACCUGUUUUUGAAUGCCACUGUGUAUUCUGUCAGGGCCCUCUGAUUCUGUUUCUUAUGGUGCUGAAUGCACAAUUUAAUGCCCUGGAAUUUCCUUCUGUCUUCUGCUAAACUCAUGCCUCUUCAGAUAGUUAAAAUCCUGUUCUACCUUAGAAGUCUCCAGAGUUAUUUUCCUAAAUUAAGAAGAACUGGCUUUGAAGUUACUCAUUAUGCCACACACAAUGGUUGAAAAGAGCAUCUCUUAUGUACUGUGUAUAUUUCAGCAUCCACUCAGCUUCUUAGGUAGAAAAGGAAGAGUCUUCCACAGUGUAUUUUAUCCAUAUUUGGGUCAGAAACUCUUCUUUACCACGGAGCGUGAUGGAAGAAAGAUAUGGGAUGGUAACAGUAGGCCAGGGAUGUAAUAAUCACAAAAUUUGAGAUAUUUUGUGACUGGUGACUCACGCCUGUGAUCCCAGCAUUUUGGGAGGCCAAAGCGGGCGGAUCACCUGAGGUCAGGAGUUCAAGACCAGCUUGGCCAAUGUAGUGAAACCUCAUCUCUACUAAAAAAAUAUAAAAAUUAGCUGGGUGUGGUGGUGCACACCUGUAAUCCUAGCUACUCAGGAGGCUGAGGCAGGAGAAUAGCUUGAACCAAGGAGGUGGAGGUUGCAGUGAGCUGAGAUUGUGCCACCACUGCAUUCCAGUCUGGGUGACAGAGCGAGACUCUGUCUCAAAAAAAAAAAAAAAAAAAAUCUAGAAAAAGAUCUCCAAGAUUCAAUCAUCUAAUUAUUUCUUUUAAAAAUGAGAAAAAUGACUCCUGGUCAGCUUUUACCUUCUUUUUCCAACUGUCUUGACAAUACUUUCAUAUUGGGCUUUUAAAGUCUCAAGUAAUAGGUUUUUAAAACCUCAGCUGAUAAAAGUAUAAAAAUAAAGUUAAAACAUAUUAAAGACAAAACCCAAGAAUCAGCUUCCUCUUCCUUCAUUACUCUUGCAUGGGUGUUGGCUCUAAUUUCUCCAUCUAGUUAGGCAGUCCUUUGCUUUUUAUUGCUUGUUUAUUGAUGACAUUUGCCAUUUGUAGCAAUAGUAAUAGAAUCAUCUAUAUAUUUGUGGCCUUGUUGAAUGUAGAAAAAGGAUAGUGGCAUUUUCUAAUUGUGUAACCCUAUAACACCUUGACGGGGGACUACAGUUCAUAUGCUGGACCUUUUGUGUUUGUUCAUGGCGGGUGGGUUGCUUUAAUAUACUUAGCACAUUGUCCUAAUUGCCAUCCUUUUGGGGAGGGCUAUAUAUCCAAGCUAAUAUGGUAGCAUUUUUGUUUUAACAUAGAGCUGACCCAAGGUAGACGUAAGUGUUGUUCAUUUUUGCCUAAUACUAAUAAAAUUACCUAAUUGUUGAAGCUUGGAGCUUGAAUCUAGGCAUUUUAUUUCAUUUCAAGUACACCCUAGUAUUUUAAAGCAUAAAUAUCCUACUAUCCUCAACAACUUUAGAACAAAAAUAAAUAUUUUAACAAGAAAAAAGCAUGCCAUGACAAGCUGUAACUUAGUAAAGAAAGACAAGGAAUGGUCUCUAUAGACCGAGAAAAAAUAGGUCCUCAGAUAUAUUUAUACCAAAGGAAUGUUAUGAAUGUAAAAAACAGUUUGACUCCCCCCCCCCCGCCAAAAAAAAACUCCACAACCCUAUAUUUUGUUAUCACAAGACUGUUUUAGUGAAUAAAACAGUAUGAAUUGGUUUUACCUGUUUCCAUUUAAUACUUAUUAACUUUAUAAUCGUAUAGCCUGAGGGUUUUAACUUCAAGUACAGCAUGAUGACUAUAAUAGUUUUACACAAGGCAAAUGUGAAAAACAGAAGUAAUUUCUUUUAAAAAGUGUGAAAUAUCUAAAAGGUAUGACUUCAAUACAUCAACUCAGGUGAGACAGACAUGUAACUUCUUUUUCCAUGUUUAAACCUAAUAUUGCUUUUGUGCCUCUGAAGGCUCGGAGUUUCCAUGCCUUCUUAGGACAUGCCACCCUCUCCACACCUGGAUGUGUUCACCAACCCAGAAGCUCUUGGAACCCCAUCAUUUGGGGUUUUUAUGGAGUCCCCAUUAAGUAGGUAUGACUGAUUAAAUCACUGGCCAUUGGUGGUUGACUCAAUCUCCAGCCUCUCUUCCCUCUCUGAAGGUGAAGGGGUGGGAAGGUGAGGCUAAGUUCCAACCCUCGGAUCACAGGGUUGGUUCCUCUGCAACCAGGCUUCAUCGUGAAACAAUACAGGGCCCACCGAGAGUCACCCCAUUAGCAAACUCAGAUGUGAUUGAAAGGGGCUUAUUAUGAAUAUCAAAAGACAUUUCUCUUUCUCCUAUUACUCAGACAGUUACAAGGGUUUCAGAAGCUCUUGCACCAGGAACUGGGAACAAAGACCAAAUAUAUAUGUCUUCUUCUAUUACAAUGUCACAGGUGUGACAGAGUAGGUAAAUGGAGUCUCAGAGAGUCCCCAGAGUAUUCCAUGGAGCCACAAAAUGAAGAAUAAAUGGAUGGUUCUCCCCAUGAUCAAAAGUGGCCUGAAAAUACUUGAGAAUGAGUCAUAACUUAAAAGGCUGUAUAGUAGAAAAGAAUGCACAGAGGACCGAAUGUAAAAGAAGGCACCCCAGUCUCAGCUAGUGUGGAUGCAUGCCAGUGUAGAAAGAUGCUAGUGUGGCUACAUUGGUGCACUGAAGACCAAACUCCUGCAUGGCCCCACAUCCUUGAUACCUUAGAUCUAUAUCAUCCCCUAAAACUUAGGUGUUAUGACAUUCAGGAUAUGCUACCCCAUCAUUUUUUAGGCUGAAGGAAUUUGAGAAAACAGAAGCAGGAAUGUAAUUGCCCAGUGGGUUCUUCCUGCCCUGUGCACAGACAAAACCAGUUCACUGAGACCAUGGUAUUGCAGUUAAGAAAGAGUUUAACAGGAGGCUGGCCACAUGGAAGAAUUACAGUUAUUACAAAUUAGUCUCCCUGAAGGCUCAGAGGUCAGGGUUUUUCAUGGAUAGUUCGGUGAGCAGUGGAUUAGGGGUAAGUGCUGCUGAUUGGUUGGGGAUACAAUCAUAGGGGUGUGGAAAAUGGUCCUUGUGUGCUGAGUCACCUCUGGGUGGGAGGCCAUGGGACCCAUUGAGUCAUGAGUCACGAGGCUGGGUUGGGUCAGUGUGAAAAACAUCUCAAAAGACCAAUCUUAGGUUCAAAAUAGGUGAUAUUACCUGUAGGAGCAAUUGGGAAAGUUAUAAAUUAUAUGACCUCUUGGCCCCAUGACUUCUGAGCAGUAAGAGAUGAUAGAAACUAAACCUACAUUUUAUCAGCACUCAGGCCUCUUCCAUAAUCCUAAUCUUGUGGCCUUUCGUUAGUCUUAUAAAGGUGGUUUGGUAACUGCCCUCAAGCAAGGAGGGGAUCAGUUUUAGGGAGGUGCUAUUAUCAUCCUUGCUUCAAAGUUAAGCUGUAAACUAAAUUCCUCCCAUAAUUAGCUUGGCCUACACCCAGAAAUGAGCAAAGACAGCCAGCCUGUGAUGUUAGAAGCAAGAUGGAGUUAGUCAUGUUAGAUUUCUCUCACUGUCAUAAUCUUUGCAAGGGAGGUUCCAGGAAGGUCAUCCUACCUUUCCCCUCACCCUUCUCAUGUGACACAGGUCAUAAAGCCUAGGAAGGAUUUUCCGACCUUUCCCUGAAGCAGGUCGUAAGACCCUCAUUGGGGAGGUGCCAUUUCUAGACCAAGAGAAAAGGCACAUCCUUAUGUCUGAAGACACAGGGACACAGAGAAGAAUCUGAACAAACAGGUCUUGCUAAGUUCCCCCCAGUUUGUUUUCAUUAGAUCAUGCCCCUUUAUUCAAUGCUGUUUCUCCACAACUAUCCAUUUCUUCAUCAAGCCUAGCAUAAAAAAUACAGGUUUCACGGUUUCUUUGGGUCUUCAUUUCCUUAUAAAGUCUCCUGUACCAUGUAAAACUUAAAUAAGUUUCUCUGCUUUUCUCUUGUUGAUUCUGUCCUUUGUUUUAUAACCCUCAGACAUGAACCUAGUGAUGAGUGAGGGGAAGAUAAUUUAUUUUCCUCUACAGAUGCAAAAGGGAAAAGGGAACAAUCCCUAAACGGAAGUUAUGAUCCAGGGAUCAGAGGCUCAAAAGCAAGAUUAGGUUUAAAUGUAGAAAAAUACAUUCCUCUUUCAUUUUAGAUAUCCCAAAUGCCCAAAUCAACCCAGCUAUUUCUCAGAAGUCUGUUUCCCCUCCACCCUCUGCUCCUCUGUGUAGUGAAACUGUCUCGUUUGGGAGUAAAAUGGCCUGGCUUUCCUUACUGAGUAUACUCUCAAGACUAUUGCCUAUUACUUUUUUCCAUUCCUUCUUGAGAACUACGCUUUUUAAAACAAGAAUUGACUCCAUUUAUCUUUUUCUUUUAGCCUUCUGCUGGGGUAUGCCUUCUCUAAAGCAAUGAAUAAAAAAUGCUUUAGCUGAAUAAAUGGGGCAAGGAUCAAGGAGUACAAGCUAAUAUUUCACAAUAUUAUCCUGCCAUAAAUAAAAGUAUGGUUUAAAUGACAAUGGUGGGGUUAGGAGUUACAGGUCACUGAAACACCACCUUAUUCAUGCUACCAGCCCCUUGGCUUUCCUGAUGGCAGCAGGGAAGCAACACAUAGGUAGAAUUAUGAGCCAACAUCGUGACUGGAGAGGGAUUGAAAAUCUUAUUUGUUGUCUUCCUAGACUAUUACAGUUAUCUGUUGAAAUUAGACUCAAUUCUUUGGCGAAAGUACUCAUUUUUAAGGUCCAUAAUAAAUUGUAACUAUGUAGCCUUUGUUGCAUGAGUUUAGUAUGAGCUGAUUGGUGGGCCACAGUGAAAGGCAGAGGGAAAUGGAUGUUAACUAAGAGGUAGAAGUCCCCUUGAAGUUCUGACCCUGUCACUAAUGAAGUCUUUAUUUCCGUAUUUAGUAAUUGCCUUUUUUUUUUUUUUUUGAGACAGAGUCUUGCUCUGUCGCCAGGAUGGGGUACAGUGGCACAGUAUCUGCUCACUGCAACCUCCGCCUCCCAGGUUCAAGCAGUUCCCCUGCCUCAGCUUCCUGAAUAGCUGGGACUACAGGUGUCUGCCGCCAUGCCUGGCUAAUUUUUGUAUUUUUAGUAGAGACGGGGUUUCACUAUGUUGGCCAGGAUGGUCUCGAUCUCCUGACCUCGUGAUCUGCCCACCUCAGCCUCCCAAAGCUAGGAUUACAGACGUGAGCCACCAUGCCCGGCCAACUGCCUUCUUUAUAUCUCAUUUUAAAAAUUUAUAACAAAGAAGUGGGUUGAUUUUCAAGACCUAGUUGUGUUAGUUUGAAUGAGAUGCAUACAUUUGGCAAGUCUGGGGUCUAAGAAAAGAUAAAGAUCUGAAUGCUGAAAAUCUAGAGAAUUCAGGUUACUGGGGGAUAACUUAAAGUCACUAGGGAAUUCGGGUUACUGGGGGGAUAACUUAAGGUCACUAGGGAAUUCGGGUUACUGGGGGGAUAACUUAAGGUCACUAGAACCCAAAUGCAGGGAAGAGUUGGGUGCUCUUUGGCAAAUAAACAUUCCUGACUUAGCAUUUUUCUUAAACCCGAACGUGCCAGCUGUUUUUUUGUUUUUUUGUUUUUUUGUUUUGUGACCUCAGCCAGGCUUGCGUGUUUAUUCAUCACAUAUUCUAAGCUCAUAUACAACUGUGACCUGAUCCAGCCUUCAAGGAACUCACUCUUGAUUUUAGGAAUCUUUCCACCACUUCGAUUUCAUCUUACUCCUGAAACAGUCAGCCAGAACUGUCUAAUUCAGUCUAUACUUCUGAUACAAAACUCUACCCAGCAACCACUAUGGUUUUGUUGCUUUAGGUACGUGUUAGAAAGCACCCACAUCAAUUUACAGAAAAUCCUUAACUGAAUCUCUAGUCCCAGAGGAGUCAUAUUUUAUUAUAUGGUGCUUUUUAUUUAAAGAGAUCGGUUUAAUAGAAAUUACUCAGGCAUUUGAAGUGAUAGCUUUAAAAUGUGGGACUGGGGAAAAUAAGAACACUUGACCUCUCUCCAUAAAAUUGAAUUGUUCUUUAGGUUUAAAGUUUUGACAGACAAAGAGAAAGUGAGAGCAAGUGAGGGUGAAAAUAUAUCCUUAUUUGGUAAUGAGUACCCAUUAAGAGGACAGUAUAUUACAUUUCAUCUUCUUACUUCACAUUCCUGUUUUAAGGAUUUGUGAGCAAAGUGCUGUGAGACCUCUAGAGUUAAGAGGCUGGAGAUAGGUAGUUUUGAUGGUAUUUUAAGGAGUGCUCCAUAAUGUGUAGUGUCUGAGUGCUGAAGCUUAAUCAGCUUCAAUUAAAUCCAAAACAUACUGAAUAGCUCCUAUGUGUCUGGCAUUGAGCUGUGUGCCAAAGUGGUGGAAAGAUGUAAGAGCCACUGAGGCUUAGAGAUGAAAAGGAUCUUGGAGCCACUGGUUUCCUGCCUGCUGGAGUUUCACCAUCAAGGACCCUUUCGUUAUUUUCCUUCUCCCAUGCAUUUUAUUAAAAUUUUUGGUUUAGUAAACCAAAUUCACUAAUGGGAUGUUAUUUUCAUAUCAAAGAGUAUAAUUCUGCCAAUCAAGGCUUCUGAUCAGCAUAAAAUAAUUAGGUUUCAUACUGAAUGCACAAAUUCUAGUCAAAAGCAAAGCCAUUUGAUGACAUGUCUGCUAUGUUGCCAUUUGCUUUAAGAGAGGUAAAGGUAGCCUGACUUCUGUUCACUCUGUAGUACAGAAUACAUUGUUAACAAGUCAUAGGUAUGUUCUUUUAGGUUUCUAAUUACUGUCAGCCUCUCAUUUCAGACAGGUGAUGUGAUAAGGUGAAAUGAUUACUAUAUUUAGACUCAAAAGUCCUGAGUUUGAGUCCUCGUUUAACGAUCUAGUCCAUGAGCUUCAGUUUUCUCACCUGUUAAAUGGAAAUGAUGAUUAUUUCCUGGAAAUUGCAUUUCCAGGUUGUUUUGAAUGAUAAAUGAUAUGGUGUAUAUAUCAGCUGUUUGCAAACCAGAAAAAGCUAUUCUAUGGUAAACACAUGCAGUGGGCUGAAUUGUGUCUCCCAAAAUUCAUAUGUUGAAGUCCUCACCCCCAGGGCCUCAGAAUGUGACUGUAUUUGGAUCUAGGGUCUUCAAGAGAUAACUAAGUUAGAAUGAGGUCAUUUGGGUUGAUCCUAAUCCAACUGACUGAUAUCCUUAUAAGACGACGAAAUUUGGAUACAGAAAUACACAGAAGACAGGGAGAAGAUGGCCAUCUACAAGCUAAGGAGAGAGGCCUCAGAAGAAACACACCUGCCACACCUUGAAUUUGGACUUCUAGCCAUCAGAACUGUGGGAAAAUAAAUUUCUGUUGUUUAAGCCAGGAGUCCUCAACCCCCGGGCUGUGGACCUGUACCAGUCGGUGGCAUGUUAAGGACUGGGCUCCACAGCAGGAGGUGAGUGGUGGGCGAGUGAGCAUUACUGCCUGAGCUCCACCUCCCGUCAGAUCAGCAGUGGCAUUAGAUUCUCAUAGGAGCACAAACCCUAUUGUAAACUGAGCACGCAAGGGAUCUAGGUUGUGCGCUCCUUACGAGAAUCUAAUGCCUGAUAAUCUGAGAUUGAACAGUUUUAUCCCCAAACCAUCCCCUCCACCACCCCCGUGGUCUGUGGAAAAAUUGUCUUCCACAAAACUGGUCCCUGGUGCCGAAAAGGUUAGGGACCAGCGGCUCAAGCCACCCAGCCUGUGGUACUUUGUUACGGUAGCCCUGGCAAAUGAAUACAACACGUUUUAGACUAUGAUGUUACACAUGCAGUGUGUUGAGAGCCAAAGAACCCAAAUGAUUCGUGGUAUCUGCCCUUGAAGAGUUUUUAAUCUUUUUGGGCAUGAUGAAACAUACACAUGGAAAAUAAAAUAGCAUAUAACCAAGUGCCCAAAUCAGUAAUAAAUACAGUUGACUCCAUAAACAUUUAGGAACCUUCUAUCCCAUGUUUCCACAUUCUAUCCCAGUGGCUUUUGCCACUAAAUUUCUUCACCCACUAUUAGACUGAUGUUUUCAUCUUUCAGUAUCAGACUCAAGCUUUAAUCUAGAAAGAGGGGGUGGGGGGAUAAAUGCUAUACUUUGGAACCAGUCCGGAUAUUUUAAGUAUGUUUUUAAAAAGUAUAAUCCUCACAACAUGAAAGUUAUUAGUUCUAUUUUUCAGGUGAGAAGAGUUAAGGUCAAACAGACGAAAGCUAGUUAGUGGAGGGACUGGUAUUCCAAGCCCAUUCUGGUUAAACUAAAUCUUGUGUUCUUUCCACUAGAAAACUGCUUUUUGUCUUAAUUAUAAUUUUGUGACAAGGAUGUAUAGUCCAUUAAGGAAUAUAUACAACAGAAGAAGCAUUUAAGUGGACUUGAGGUUUGUGAAUCUGAACUAGUUUCUAUCGACUUUCACAUCAGCAGCUCCUAUUCUGGGGAAAGAGAAUGGAGGCUGGGAGUGAUCCUGACAAACCUUGAUGUGCAGGCUUGUGGAGAAACUGGAUUCACACCCAGGCUCGUGGAGUGUGGGAGAGGCUGGCCUGUCACAAUAUCAGGACAGCCUCUCUUAAUAACACUGCAGAAGGAAUCGAGGGCCCUGUGGUUUGCGGUCAGUGUGCCUCUUGUGCCAACUUUGGCACUACAAUGUCUUCAAUCACAUUAUCUUCCAAACCGGCUCUUCAUCCUAUGUCCUUAUUUCUGCUAAUGGUAUUCAUUUCUCUUAUUCAUGGACUCUGGGAAUCUUGGUGGUAUUAAAACCUGUCUCUUCUUUCCCCCUCGAUCUUCCACAUUCCAUUUCCUUUCAGCAGAAUCCCAAGCCUUCACCAUUUUUCAUUUUUGGUGCUGUUUCAGAGUUGCUGUGAACUUUACCUGGGUCCUCUAUCACCUUACCCAGCCAUUUGUCAUUCUGCCUGGUAAAGGGUUGAGCAGAUUUAUCUAUAUGAAUGAUCUUAUUUAAGCUAUUCUGUACACCUUCUGCUACUUAAACAGGCUCUAUGCUUCCACAUCUGCUCUCUAUCUGCCUAUGUGACUCAAACUUCAAUUGUCCAUCUCAGACAUCACAUCCUCCAUGAAGCCCUCUUGGGUUAUUUGAAGUAAUCUCUCUUCUGGGCUCUCAUAGCAUUACUGCUUGUAACUCUUUCAAAAGAUGAAUUUUGUGCUGUUGUUUACUUAAUGAGUACAAAUUUAGUGAUAAAUUUGAAAAACUUGUGUCCAUGUUUGAUAAAUAUGAAAAUCUCAUCAUUUUCAAUAUUUCUUAGAAUUUCAAAAUGUACUAAAUAUUAUUAAAAACCAAUCAUGGCAAUUUUAACAUUGAGUAUUCUUUUUUGAAAUAUGAAUGCUCCUCUCUCAAGACUGGUAUACUUUCUCACUCUACUCCCUUUUCAAGUGCCCUUAUCGAACUUUGCUGAUGAAAUCAUCUUUUCUUAGUUUGUUAGACUUUGGAUGGUGGAGACCUGUGCCUGCUACUUCUCUCAUCUCCUGAUACCUAAUGCAUAGUGUUCAGUACUGAAAUAUGGUCAACCAGAUGAGCUGAAAUGUCAAGAACUUAUAGACACACAUGGUUUCAUGGUUGUGAAACUAGAAGAUGUGGCAUAUUUUACACAAUGGAGGGAAGAGCAAAGGUUAUGCAUGUGCGGAGGCAGAGCCCCUAGGCAGGUUUCCCUCUUUUCCUUCCUGUGCACUGAUUUUUAUUUUGGUGAACUGAAACAGGGGUCUAACAAACUGGUAUCUCAUUUGUCUUUAUAAACAGAACUGCCAGAUUGGCUUUGCAAUUCAGGGCCCUGUAGGGUGCCCACCUCCUCAGUUUGGGCAGCAGCAUUACAUCUGAGUCUUAGAAUAAAAAUGGAAAGCAAUGGCUCAACCCAUUGGUUUGUCACCAUCCACAUGAAGGAUCUCUAUUGGUAAAAAAACAGACUCCCGUGUUCAAGGCCCUGGGGCUGGAAUCAAAUCCAUCAUUCAUUUAUUUCGGUUUUUUAAGGCUAAAUACAUAGGGAAGAAAAUGAAAUGUGAGAAAGCUGUGCAUUUUCAAUGUCAUCUUGAAAGUGAGUAUCUUUAGACACAUAAAGUAGAUGAGUGGUUAACUUGGGCUGGGAGAGGGAGUGAGGAGUGGUUGUACAUGGCACAAGGUUUCUAUUUAGUGUGAUUGAAAUGUUCUAUAAUUUGAUUGAUGAUUGUACAGUUCUGUAAAUAAACUAAAAUGUAUUGAAUUGUAUAAUUAAAACAUGCAGAUUUUAUAUUUAAAAUAUACUUUGAUAAAAGUGUUUUAAAAAUGAAUAUCUCAUAGGGUAGAAUGAAAUGAAUAAGAGAAACAGUGAGGCAUCCAGGGGACUUUCUGCACAGUGGGUCUGUCAUUAGGCAGGUACGUUGCCACAGCCAGUUCUAAUGCCCACUCAUAGGCCAAUGCCUAGGACAAUUGCUCAGAUAUCGCCUCUGACAGGCAAGUGUUCCAUCAGUAACAGCAGGCAUCGGAAGAUGAUGCCAUUCCCUGCUGUUAGUAUGAUUAUAUUGACUUAGGUUUUUAAUUUUCUUUCUUGCUGUGUUUUUUUUUUUUCACCUUCUUAGCCUCUAAAGCAUGAACAUCUGUGUUUUUCAG
This 13140-nucleotide long non-coding RNA is filed under the name Homo sapiens (human). RNAcentral's name for it is "non-protein coding CASC15:66". The record is from RNAcentral. Lineage: Eukaryota; Metazoa; Chordata; Mammalia; Primates; Hominidae.